UACGUAGGGUGCAAGCGUUGUCCGGAAUUAUUGGGCGUAAAGAGCUCGCAGGCGGCUUGUCGCGUCGGCUGUGAAAACCUGGGGCUCAACCCCGGGCCUGCAGCCGAUACGGGCAAGCUAGAAUUCGGUAGGGGAGACUGGAAUUCCUGGUGUAGCGGUGAAAUGCGCAGAUAUCAGGAGGAACACCGGUGGCGAAGGCGGGUCUCUGGGCCGAUAUUGACGCUGAGGAGCGAAAGCGUGGGGAGCGAACAGG
RNAcentral lists this ribosomal RNA (253 nucleotides) under uncultured bacterium. Its description in RNAcentral is "partial 16S ribosomal RNA". It matches the Rfam family "Bacterial small subunit ribosomal RNA", at positions 524 to 776 of the family's 1533-position model. The record is from RNAcentral.